GCGGAGGGAUCAUUAAAGAGUUAAAAACAACUCCUAAACCCAUGUGAAACCUACCUUUGUUGCCUCGGCAGGUCUGCAACUUACCCUGAGGGUACCUACCCUGUAGGUACCUUACCCGGUAGUUGCGGGCAUAACCUGCCGGUGGUCUACUAAACUCUGUUUACUAUGUCAUUCUGAAUAAUAUAACUAAAUAAGUUAAAACUUUCAACAACGGAUCUCUUGGUUCUGGCAUCGAUGAAGAACGCAGCGAAAUGCGAUAAGUAAUGUGAAUUGCAGAAUUCAGUGAAUCAUCGAAUCUUUGAACGCACAUUGCGCCCAUUAGUAUUCUAGUGGGCAUGCCUGUUCGAGCGUCAUUUCAACCCUUAAGCCCUGUUGCUUAGCGUUGGGAGCCUACAGAUACCCUCUGUAGUUCCUUAAAGUUAGUGGCGGAGUCGGUUUCACACUCUAGACGUAGUAAAUUUUAUCUCGCCUAUAGAUGAGCCGGUCCCUUGCCGUAAAACCCCCUAAUUUCUAAAGGUUGACCUCGGAUCAGGUAGGAAUACCCGCUGAACUUAAGCAUAU
This 561-nucleotide ribosomal RNA is filed under the name Xylaria sp. HCCB03890. RNAcentral describes it as "eukaryotic LSU rRNA". The stretch from base 200 to 353 matches the Rfam family "5.8S ribosomal RNA". The record is from RNAcentral. Lineage: Eukaryota; Fungi; Ascomycota; Sordariomycetes; Xylariales; Xylariaceae.